AGCUAGUAUAGCUCAAUUGGUAGAGCAUCUGAUUUGUAAUCAGUAGGUCAUAAGUUCAAAUCUUUUUACUAGCUA
RNAcentral lists this transfer RNA (75 nucleotides) under Pterocladiophila hemisphaerica. RNAcentral describes it as "tRNA-Thr". It matches the Rfam family "tRNA". Rfam says of the family: Transfer RNA (tRNA) molecules are approximately 80 nucleotides in length. The record is from RNAcentral. Lineage: Eukaryota; Rhodophyta; Florideophyceae; Gracilariales; Pterocladiophilaceae.